RNAcentral lists this ribosomal RNA (359 nucleotides) under Chloroflexota bacterium. RNAcentral's name for it is "bacterial SSU rRNA". It matches the Rfam family "Bacterial small subunit ribosomal RNA", at positions 1 to 354 of the family's 1533-position model. Lineage: Bacteria; Bacillati; Chloroflexota. The record is from RNAcentral.
GACGGAGAGUUUGAUCCUGGCUCAGGGUUAACGCUGGCGGCGCGCAUAACACAUGCAAGUCGAGCGAGGGCUUAUUUCUCGCAAGAGAGAUAAGUUCCUAGCGGCGAACGGGUGAGUAACACGUGGGCAACCUUUCCUAUCGCGGGGGAUAACACCGGGAAACCGAUGCUAAUACCGCAUGUCGUCACCGGUCACAUGGCUGGUGAAGAAAGCAGCAAUGCACGAUGGGGUGGGCCCGCGGCCUAUCAGCUAGUCGGUGGGGUAACGGCCUACCGAGGCGAUGACGGGUAGCUGGUCUGAGAGGACGGCCAGCCACACGGGGACUGAGACACGGCCCCGACUCCUACGGGAGGCAGCAG